RNAcentral lists this ribosomal RNA (875 nucleotides) under uncultured marine group I thaumarchaeote. Its description in RNAcentral is "bacterial SSU rRNA". It matches the Rfam family "Archaeal small subunit ribosomal RNA", at positions 21 to 903 of the family's 1478-position model. The record is from RNAcentral. Lineage: Archaea; Thermoproteati; Nitrososphaerota.
CCUGACUGCUAUCGGAUUGAUACUAAGCCAUGCGAGUCAUUGUAGCAAUACAAGGCAUACGGCUCAGUAACGCGUAGUCAACCUAACCUAUGGACGGGAAUAACCUCGGGAAACUGAGAAUAAUGCCCGAUAGAACACUAUACCUGGAAUGGUUUGUGUUCCAAAUGAUUUGUCGCCAUAGGAUGGGACUGCGGCCUAUCAGUUUGUUGGUGAGGUAAUGGCCCACCAAGACUAUUACAGGUACGGGCUCUGAGAGGAGUAGCCCGGAGAUGGGUACUGAGACACGGACUCAGGCCCUAUGGGGCGCAGCAGGCGAGAAAACUUUGCAAUGUGCGAAAGCACGACAAGGUUAAUCCGAGUGAUUUGUGCUAAACGAAUCUUUUGUUAGUCCUAGAAACACUAACGAAUAAGGGGUGGGCAAGUUCUGGUGUCAGCCGCCGCGGUAAAACCAGCACCUCAAGUGGUCAGGAUGAUUAUUGGGCCUAAAGCAUCCGUAGCCGGCUCUGUAAGUUUUCGGUUAAAUCUGUACGCUUAACGUACAGGCUGCCGGGAAUACUGCAGAGCUAGGGAGUGGGAGAGGUAGACGGUACUCGGUAGGAAGUGGUAAAAUGCUUUGAUCUAUCGAUGACCACCUGUGGCGAAGGCGGUCUACCAGAACACGUCCGACGGUGAGGGAUGAAAGCUGGGGGAGCAAACCGGUUUAGAUACCCGGGUAGUCCCAGCUGUAAACUAUGCAAACUCAGUGAUGCAUUGGCUUGUGGCCAAUGCAGUGCUGCAGGGAAGCCGUUAAGUUUGCCGCCUGGGAAGUACGUACGCAAGUAUGAAACUUAAAGGAAUUGGCGGRGGAGCACCACGAGGGGUGAAGCCUGCGGUUC